This 66-nucleotide transfer RNA is filed under the name Apocrypta bakeri. RNAcentral's name for it is "tRNA-Ser". It matches the Rfam family "tRNA". From Rfam's summary of the family: Transfer RNA (tRNA) molecules are approximately 80 nucleotides in length. Their secondary structure includes four short double-helical elements and three loops (D, anti-codon, and T loops). Lineage: Eukaryota; Metazoa; Arthropoda; Insecta; Hymenoptera; Pteromalidae. The record is from RNAcentral.
AAUUAUUAAGCUUUAAAAGUUUAUGUCUUGAAAACAUAAGAUAGAAGUAAAAUCUUCUAAUAAUUU